Armigeres subalbatus is the source of this 756-nucleotide long non-coding RNA. RefSeq lists it as uncharacterized. Lineage: Eukaryota; Metazoa; Arthropoda; Insecta; Diptera; Culicidae. The record is from RefSeq and is a predicted model, not a curated record. The transcript is spliced from 2 exons.
CAAGUUUGGAGCAGACGGUGUCUAGUUUCCAACAACAAAUGCAACUACACCUCGAGAGAUCAAAUAGUGCAAUUGUUGAGCAUAAGCUUUAGUUAGCAGCCGGUGUGGUGUCCCUGUCCCGAGGAUAAUCUAAAAAUACAAACAAUGUACACAGAAGAGGGUUCUCCGUUGCACACCCCGACACCUGAACCGCGUAUGGAAGCAAGGAUAGCGCCAUCACACAACAACAUACCUAGCAGUGGAAAAAUAACCGGGAGGAAUUCGGUGAAAGGUGGUUUGCUUUAGCGGUUGCUAUGUCCAUAAAGUAGCGGCUAAUUCUGCGCUCCGCAAUAAUAUAGGAAACAAAAUAAAAACUUUCAUUCAAGGAAAUCGAGGGGUGGGAAGCAGACAGUGCCAGUGGUGGAAAACAUUUCCCAAAGCAGGGCGAGUGAGCGAGACGACUUGUUUCCGGUUUCUCGCGUGCAAAACCAUGGCAAUGGAGAAAGGACGACGGCAAGCGUAACCCAGCAGGCAGCGAGCCGGGAUUGCUGCGGCAUCGGCACGGCAACCAGCAAGCGUCCAGAAUUGGGUCAAGGUAGUCAAGGUUAAACGUUGUUUUUGUAGGUAUCGAUUUUAUCCGGUACAACUAACUGGCGGGUUGUUUUCGCUGCGCGGAUAUUUUCCAAUAGGAGGGAUGGGUAAAUGCGGGGAAGGUGGUGAUCAGGAAAGACAAUAUGUACGCUUGUUUGGUGGAAAUAAACACUUCCGAUAACUUUG